CCAAAGCCCAGCCCGAGCGAGCCAGCCUACGCGCACAAGCACACGCACUCCCCUCCUUCUAUAGUACAUGUGCGAGGUGAAAGGGAAGCGACUGAUUUUUCCCGUCGAUCCGCCGGCGCCGCCGCUGGUUUCCCUCCCCUCCGCCGGCCGCUUCGGCGGCGGGAGGGUGGGGAAACCUCGGAUCCGCGCGUCCGGUGUGUAAAUAGCUUGUUUUGCCUGAUCGUCGUCAGUGCUAUGGGGGUGGCGGCGGCGGCGACAUGUUUCGUCCCACAGCUUUCCCCAUGGCGAUGCUCUCCUCCGGUGUGGCGUCGUCGAGCUCGUGGGUGGUGGUGGUUGGCCGGCCGGGGGUCGGCUGCCUGUCCGACGUGCUCCUGGUGGUGGCGGCUUACGGUGAGGUCGCCGUUGCCGAAGGAUUUUUGGUCGCUCGUUCCUUCUCCGUCCAAUAAAUCUUUGCUUGUUGUUGAUUUGUUGGGGAUUGAGCGGCGUGUAUCUCCUGCUGAUCUACGGAUCGAGCGGUGUCUCGGCCUUCCCCUCCGAUGGUGGCGCCGUCGGAUGGAGAAGUGAUUUUGGUCCUCACGGAUCUGUAGAUCCCGCGAGUUAUUGGAUUCUCAGGCAGGGCGGUGUGGCGGCUUCGCCGUCCUGGCGAUGUGAGUAUCUAUCUCCCCCUCCUCUUUGUUGUUGCGCCGGCGAAGUAUCCAUCGGUGGCGUGGAGGUGGGGUCCUGGAGUGUAGGAGGUGUUUGGUUGAGCUGCAGGUUUGAUUCCCUCUCAAGAGAUGCUGGUCGUCUUCUUCCUCUCCGGUUCCGUCCGUAGAGUGUCGUUCUCUCGGAGUAUGCUGAUGCCGUGGUUGGCUCUUGGUGUCGCCGCCGAUAUGCGUUCAUCGACUUGAGAUCCCGCCCGGCGUCGGGUGGCUCAUGCGGCUUCAAAACCUUUAUGGCGGGGGUUCCUGUACCCCUGAGGCGGCCUGUGGGCAUGGCGUCUUCUCCAGCUUCGGUGAGCUCCGGCGAUGGCGACGUGGUCUGCGCGUGUUCAGGCGAUGAGUGUUUCGGUGGCCGGCUGUGCUUUUCUGUUGUAUUUUCUUUCUGUUCAGAGGGUGUCUGUGUAAUAUUGUGCUAUGAAUAGAGCAGCUCUUUGUCUCAAAAAAAGCACACACACUCCUUCCUCCUCAUGGCCUCAAAUGGGCGACGCUAGGGUUUCGCCCAGCCCCAGCCUCGGCCGCCGCUCGACCUCGGCGACCGCCGCUCCUUGGCUCCGCGGCCGCCGCUAGACAUCCACGGUCGUGCCUUGACCUCCUUGGCUCCUCUGCCGCCACUCGACCUCCUUAGCUCCUCGGUCGCCGCUCGACCUCCACCACCACGCUUCGCCAACACUUGCUUCCCCGUAUCCGGCCCUUCAUUGAUAUGGACUCGUGCUCCUCAGCCCUCAUGGUGUUGUGCUACACGCGUGCUCCGCGGCCCCUCCUCCACGGUGUCAUACAGAAAGGACGAGGGCGAGUCCUGGUUACUGACGUGUGUGGGUGUGGAUGUGGGAACACACCUAUCAUAUGCCCUAGCAGUGCAAGCCUGAACACAUGUCAUAUGUUGGAGUAGAUGCAAGUAUAUGAAUGAUGAAUGGGUGCUGCCUUAAAUCAUCAGCACAUUAGUGGUGCCCGAUCAAAGUCAAACGCUCGCCCUGGACAACCCCGUUCGCCAAAGUGGUUACGCCGAGCUGUAGUUGCUGGGCGCCCAUCUAGCCGCUCUGCUGGGUGUGGCGUCACUCCUGUCCCCGGCAACAUGUACUUCUCUACCAGACAAAUUAACUUAGAUUGGGUUGCUGCAAGAGUUUUUAUUGUUGAUUUCGAAUGUUUUUUAAGGAGAAAGGUUAGUAAAUGAUGUUGUUUUCUACAAUGCAAA
Triticum aestivum (bread wheat) is the source of this 1890-nucleotide long non-coding RNA. RefSeq lists it as uncharacterized. NCBI's taxonomy places the organism in Eukaryota, Viridiplantae, Streptophyta, Magnoliopsida, Poales, Poaceae. The record is from RefSeq and is a predicted model, not a curated record. The transcript is spliced from 2 exons.